UAACACUUUACACCAGCCAUCAGUGAAAAAAGGUGAACUAAUCAUUAUUUAAUAUUUAAUUCUAAUAAACUAAACCAAAUAUUUCUUAAUUUAUUACAUUUUUCAUUAAUCAUAAUGUAUCUUAUGUAAUUAUUAGUUAAUGAUCAUAUUAAAUAUAAUCAUAUAUAUGUGGUGCUAAAAUGAGGGGGAAAAAUUUGUUGGUAUUUAUUUAAUAUGCAGGUUAAAAUAUUUGCAAGCAGAAAAAGGAAUUAUUGUACUGUCAUUAGAGCCAUAAUUAAAGUCACUGCUGAAGCUCUCAAUCCAUCAUAAAUUGUUAAAUAAUGCCUGAUGUGUUGACCUUCAUUAUGAUUUUCAACUCAUGUCUACUAAUUCCUACAGGUGACAUAAAUUUACAUUAUGAGGCUCUAUUAUGUAUAAAAUUCACAAUAUAUAUAUAAAAAUAAAUAAGAUAAUACAUUUAUUAAACCUUUACAUAAUUGAAAGAGUAUUAAAUAAUGAUUAUUUCACCAAGUAUUGAAUAGAUGACCUACAUCAGUAUUGAUUUUAAUGCACUUUAAAUACCAGUUUUAAAGAGCUUUGGGAAAGCUGAUGGACGCUCUUACACCAGGAGAAGUUGUUGCCCUUUUCUCAGUUUGAGGAGCUGAAACUGUGGAGGCCACAGCUGUGUCUGCUGGACCUUGUUUAACACAAUGGAUGAGAAGAAGAAACACUGACUGUGUCUCAGCUGAGCCCGAAUCCACCGCUGAGUGACGCCCUGCGUGACACCAUAACACCGAAUGACAGCCUGCGGGGCGCAGUGUGCGCCAGGAGCAUCCAAGGUCUGAUGAGCACAGGUCAGUCUGAAUCCUUCUUAAUUUCAUUCCCGGGGACACCAUCUUCUCUCCCGACCGGCGUCAGAUGGCAAGACUGGCUGCGAAGAUGUUCUUUUAAUGAGCAGCGAAAUAAAAUCCACCAUCGUUAGCGGACAUCGGAGCCAGAAGCGAGGCUGCAUAAGGGCUACGGCAUGAGAGUCUCUGCACCACCAGCUCUGCUUCCCCACAACUGGAAUGAAAAUUGUCGGCUGCAGCAUCUUACUGAGCAACGUUUGUUCUUCAGACAGCAGCUCUUUGUGUGCAGAGAGCGUCCUUGUCUCGGUUUGAUGCAAACUUAUUACACCAAACUCUACAUAUAAUGAUGUUUUUUUUUUUCUUUCUUUCUUUCUGCAUGAAUUGUUUCUCUGUAAGUCAAGGAAUAGAUAAGGAUCUUAACCAUGAAAAGUGCCAUGGUUGAUGUUUAAACAAUGCUAUGUGAGCCUAUUUUAUUGCAAAACCAGAAGGGAAGGAUUUAAAAAGAAAUGAGAGGCAUAUUUAUUUUGCAAUUUUGUACAUUGUACAUUUUGGAAAUUGUCGUCAAUGUUGCUGUUAAAAUGCCACUUGUUGGACACCGCCCCCUGACAAAUAGGAGGGGUCACAAUUUGCCUGUGUUGCACAAAAUGUGUUAAAUAGAAGCACGGUAGCCGAAUGCAUGCAGAGGCUGCACCAGCACCACAGAAGUUAAUGUUAUAACCUACUAAUGAAAGGAACAGUACAACAAAUUACAUAUAACCCUCACCGUAUUCUUAAUGUCCACAUUAUAGUUUUGAUCUCCGUUUGCAUGUUACACCAUAGUUGUGCACAUAGCAAAUUAAUUUCUUUUAUUAAACUAACAAUGACUAAUAAAGCAGUGGCUUCCUUCACAUUUCAGUCAAGAUGAAUUCAAAUAAAACUUUUUACUUCAA
This is a long non-coding RNA of Stegastes partitus (bicolor damselfish), 1756 nucleotides long. RefSeq lists it as uncharacterized. The transcript is spliced from 2 exons. Lineage: Eukaryota; Metazoa; Chordata; Actinopteri; Pomacentridae. The record is from RefSeq and is a predicted model, not a curated record.